UAAGUAGAAUAAAUGAUCGCGCCUGCCGCAAGGCNGGUGAGGAAAGUCCGGGCUUCACAGGGCAGGAUGCCGGAUAACGUCCGGUGGAGGCGACUCCAAGGAUAGUGCAACAGAAAAGAAACCGCCGUAGUUUAUGUUUCAUAGCGUACGUAUGAAGUAUAAACCGCGGUAAGGGUGGAAUGGCAGUGUAAGAGACUACCGCUUCUACGGUAACGCAGAAGGCUGUGUAAACCCCAUCCGAAGCAAGACCGGAUAGAGAGCCAUAGGUCUGCCCGGCCUGCUCUCAGGUGGGUCGCUGGAGGUUGUCGGUAACGACAAUCCAAGAUAGAUGAUCAUUCACGACAUAACCCGGCUUAUCGUUCUGCUUAGUAU
This 372-nucleotide RNase P RNA is filed under the name Lachnospiraceae bacterium. RNAcentral's name for it is "RNase P RNA component class A". It matches the Rfam family "Bacterial RNase P class A". From Rfam's summary of the family: Ribonuclease P (RNase P) is a ubiquitous endoribonuclease, found in archaea, bacteria and eukarya as well as chloroplasts and mitochondria. Its best characterised activity is the generation of mature 5'-ends of tRNAs by cleaving the 5'-leader elements of precursor-tRNAs. Lineage: Bacteria; Bacillati; Bacillota; Clostridia; Lachnospirales; Lachnospiraceae. The record is from RNAcentral.